GUGGGGAAUUGUUCACAAUGGGCGCAAGCCUGAUGACGCAACGCCGCGUGGAGGAUGAAGGUCUUCGGAUUGUAAACUCCUGUUGCUCGGGACGAAAAGCUCUGACCUAACACGUCAGAGUCUGACGGUACCGAGUGAGGAAGCCCCGGCUAACUCUGUGCCAGCAGCCGCGGUAAUACAGAGGGGGCAAGCGUUGUUCGGAAUUACUGGGCGUAAAGGGCGCGUAGGCGGCCUUCUAAGUCAGACGUGAAAUCCCCGGGCUCAACCCGGGAACUGCGUCUGAUACUGGAGGGCUUGAAUCCGGGAGAGGGAUGCGGAAUUCCAGGUGUAGCGGUGAAAUGCGUAGAUAUCUGGAGGAACACCGGUGGCGAAGGCGGCAUCCUGGACCGGUAUUGACGCUGAGGCGCGAAAGCCAGGGGAGCAAACGGGAUUAGAAACCCCAGUAGUCC
RNAcentral lists this ribosomal RNA (449 nucleotides) under uncultured bacterium. Its description in RNAcentral is "bacterial SSU rRNA". It matches the Rfam family "Bacterial small subunit ribosomal RNA", at positions 354 to 796 of the family's 1533-position model. The record is from RNAcentral.